Long non-coding RNA from Canis lupus familiaris (dog), 3574 nucleotides. RefSeq lists it as uncharacterized. The transcript is spliced from 3 exons. NCBI's taxonomy places the organism in Eukaryota, Metazoa, Chordata, Mammalia, Carnivora, Canidae. The record is from RefSeq and is a predicted model, not a curated record.
UAUUUCAUGUUAUUCUCAUCUUGCUAGCAUGGUUUCUGAAAAGUCUUAUGUAAUACUUACCCUUCUUCUACAAAUAAGGUGUCUCCUCUCCAGCUUCUUUGAAGAUUUCCUCUUUGUUUUUUAUUUUCUGCAGUUUGAAUAUGAUAUACUUAGGUAUACCUAGGUAUACUUUUAUCCUCCUUGGUGUCCUGUGAAUUUCCUGGAUCAUGGUUUGGUGUUUGUCAUUACUUUUGGAAAGCUCUCAUCUUAAUAUAAUUAAGGUGUGACAGGAAGACUAGAAGUGGCUGGAACUGGUUUUCAGGGUAAGGGGUUGUUCUGGAUAUCAAGUCUGAGGAAUCUAAGGACAAUUGUUGAUUUUCACAUUCUUGCUGUGAGGACAGGAGAGACAACUUCUGCACUCUUUACAUGUUGGACCAGAAACCACCUACCACCUUCUUUUGUACAACUGUGAGCUGAAAACAUUUUGCACUUUUUAAAUGGUUGAAAAGAACCAAAAGAGACUAUUAUUUUAUAACUAGAAAAAAUUACAUGAAUAUCAAGUUUUAGGACUCAUCAUUAAAUUUUAUUGGAAUACAGCCAUGCUCAUUUAUUUAUACGCUGCUUAUGGGUGCUUUCAUGCUGCACAGGCAAUUUGAAUAGUUUUGACAGAGACCUUAAGACCCACAAUGCCCCAAACAUUUAUUAUCUGGCUCUAUCCAGAGGAAAAAAAAAAUCCAAUCCCUGCUCCCUGUCUCUUAAUAUUUCUUUAUAUUUUUUAAUCUCCUUUUCUCUCUGUGCUACAUUCUCAGUAAUUGUGUUAGAUUUACUUUCCAGUUUACUAUGACCUCCUUAGCCACAUCUAAUUUGCUGAUUUAGUCAUCAUUUUUCCCCUUUUCUUCAACAAUUUCAUUUAAAAUUUCUAGCAUGGUAUUUUAUUCUUUUUCUGAUCUAUACUACAGGUUUUGAUCAUCUCUUAUUGCUUACUCAUUUUUGUGAUACCAUCUUUCAGUGCAUGAGGCAUUUCAUGUAUUUUCAUUUUAUAUUCUGUAUCUGAUAAUUCUGUUGUAUGAAUCUUAUGAGGUCUAAAUUGGAUAUUGCUGCUUCUGCCACUGAUGCUGGUUCAUUUCCUUAUGUAUUUGAUGAUCUUUGAUUGUGAGCUCAGAUUUAGUAGAUCAAGCCUGUGAUCCUACCUUAAGGGUCUGUCCAGAGAGGGUUUCAUUCUGCUGUAAACCAGGAGAUGACUGUCACCUGGAGCAUGAGAGCCUUCUUUCAAUUUCUCUGACUUAAUCUGAGAGUCUCAGGUCCAAUUCUUCAGUCUUUCUCUGUUGACCCAAGACUUUUUCCCCCUUAAUUCCAGCAUCAGUAUUGGCAAUUAAAUGGGUAACUGUCUUCGGGCAUACCUGGCUUCCCCAUGUGCAUGCUCCUCCCAUUUUUGUAAAUAAAGUUUUUUAUUCUUUUGGUCAUUCGGACUUUCCUGUAAUCUCAGCAAAAUGAUAAAAUAAUUUUUUUUCCUGUGCAAUCUCACAGUUUUAUAAAAGGAGGGUUUCCUGGUUAUCUAAUCUGCCAUGUUGCUAGGGUGGGAGUCCUAUCCAGUUCUUUAUUUUACCCUCAUGACUAAUUAUGGUCUCUACUUGCUGGUUUAUCUCCUUCCCCAGACCAGGUAAGGGAAUUGUUUUCUAUACUCUCUACUUUCCCCUUUCUUUUGUGACAGCCCCGUGCCUCCCCUUGUCUUCAUUUUAUCCCCUUGACAGAUACCCAAACUUGGAGUCGACAAUGACAGUAUCUUCUCUUUGACCAAGGAGACACUCAUUCCUUGGUUUCUUGUCAAGGACAGAAUUUAGUAGUGACUCUUUUCAAGCACCUUGGGUCUCCUGCCUCCCAUUUCUAAACAUAUCCAGCCUCUAUUCUCAGCCCUAACGCACUUAAACAUGAUCUCUUUGUUGGCAUGGUUUAGUUUUUAUUUACUGAUGUCAUUAUUUCAGGUCCCUCCUGUGAAACUGCAAUGUUCUUUAUUGCUCUUUGGGAUCCCAGAGUAUGGCUUAAAGCUAAAUGCUUUUCUUCCUCAGUUUACAUCACUGCCCACAUAUCGCUCUGUCAUUUUUAGAUUGAUUAGUUCCUUCUGCAGUUGUUGCCAUUAGUUAUGAAUGGCUUUAGAAGAACAGAUGGGGCAUAUGAAAAUACUCUGUAAACUAUAAAGGCCUGCACAAUGCUGAGGAUGAUUUUGGGAUGAGUAUAGUUAAGGCUUCAGCUGAGGCAAGUGCAUCUGACUUUGAUUAUUUCGAAAAACUGUCUUAAAGGCUUCUGAAGCUGAAGUGGUCUCCACAGGAAGAGAUGUCUGAGUCUUUCCAGGGGGUAAAAGAACAUCCUAUUUAGGAACAUGCACUUAGGAAAUGUGGUGUGGAAGAGUAGGAUGAAUUAGAGUGCUAGUGGACAAUCUGGAUGGGAAACUUCCAGAAGCUAUGUUAAUUCAAAAUGAUGAAUUAACCAUGACAGCCAGGCUAUGGUUCCAGGGCUAAAACUAGUAAGAGGUAGGUUUCUGAUGCGUAUGCUGCAUACAGGAACUAAACCCCAGGGAUAGAGCCAAUAGAGCCUUGGCCUAGGAUUCUAGAGAAUUUUUUUUUCCUGAUGAAAAAAAUUGCUUGCUGUACUGUCAUUUGAUGAAACCAGUUCCUUGUUAUAAGGUUGCCUUCCAGCUCAAAUUCCGGGAUUUUAUCAUCAUUACCAGUUGACAUAGCUUUGUCUGAUUGAAACACUAGGACUUGAUUAAUGGUUUGCUUUGUUUCUCUUAAUUCCCUGGGUUCUAAUUCCCAUUUUUCUGUGUUCCUGACUUGCAUGCAGUCAGUCCCUGAAGGUGAUGUUGGAAAAAGAAGACACAGCCUCCUUUUCCUCCAGGAUGUAAUUCCACUUAUUCCAUUAUACAGUAUAUACCCAAGUCCCGAAACCUCCCGACAGAAGCACAGCUGGACUUUGCAGUUUUGUUCCUGAGGCUCAUCACUGAUAACAUGGGGCUUUGUCCCUUAUGUUUCCCAUAGCACUUCUCAGGUACUUCAUCAGAAGGAACUCCAGAACUUUUGGAUAGUGUUCCUCACACACACAAAAAGCAUAAUUGUAAUUCCUAGUAUUAGAAACAUUUCAGAAUAUUAUAAUAAAUUGCUCCAUUUGUCUUUCAACCUUUAAGUCCUAGAUUUAAGGGCACAAUGCAAAGCCUUCUUUGUGCAUUCUAUGGAUCACCCCAACUUGCCGUUACAAAUGUUAUUUCUUUUAACUUCUGAUGGACUCCUGGCUGAUUCAUUCUCAAGAGCCAGUGUAGGAAUUCUCACUAAAUAGCCCGAUGCAUGGCCUACCAUUUACACUCCUCGUCUUCCUUCAUGAUAUCAAGGUUGCUGUCCUGGUCUAGAUAAAGGCUCCCUAGUUCCUGAGAUCCUAGAAAAUGAAUCCGUUGUUGUAUUCACGUUUGAGAAUGGGAAAUCUACUCACAUGGGAAAUCUGCAACUAUUCCUGCACCUGGAUGCCUAGGUCCAGGACUGGGAAUUGCCCCCACACCACCUGAUUAGGAUCUCCCAUUUUGUAAAGCUCUUUGGUAGUAAGGCUACAU